GCUUUAAACCUUUUAUAUUAUAUUUUCUUUCAGCAUGCCAAGAUUCCCUUUUCUUUAGUUUUCCUUUUAAAAAUUAUUUAAAAGUUUAUAGGACCAGGUUAUUAUGGAACCAAAUUUGAUUGAUUAUGCAAAUGAUAAAAUAAUACCUUUUAAAACAUUCAUGGUUUAAACAUUUUUUAUUUUGUUCCCACUCCCCCUACCUCCAUCACCACCACCUCCUGCAGCCAGGGCCUCAUGCUUGCUCUAACACUGAGCUAAAUCCACAACCCCUUAAAGAUUUUUAAAAAGCAUAACAUUUAUGCUUUUUUUUUUUGGUUUUUCAAGACAGGGUUUCUCUGUAUAGCCCUGGCUGUCCUGGAACUCACUUUGUAGACCAGGCUGGCCUCGAACUCAGAAAUCCGCCUGGCUCUGCCUCCCAAGUGCUGGGAUUAAAGGCGUGCGCCACCACGCCCGGCUCAUUUAUGCUUUUAGACAGAGACAUUUCAAAAGAAAAGUAAACAUUUCACACAGGAAGCUAGAGCAUAAUCAGAGCUGCUGAGGAAGCAGAGAUGGAAGGAUAGCAAGUUCAGGGCCAACCGGGGCUGGCUGCUAGUGAGUGCAGGCCAGCCUGGGCACUUGGUGAGACCCUUUCUCAAAAACAGAGGCAAAAAAAAAGCAAAAGGGUUGGGAAUGAAUGUAAAUCAGGCAUAGCACACAGGAGGCCCUCAGUUCAAUAACCAGUAUCUUGAAAAAAAAAAGUUUUUAUUUUUUUAGAUCACAUGAAGACAGUGGAUAGACUAAUACUAGAAUGAUUCGAAACAAGGGGUGGCAUUCACAAUUACAUUUGCAUUUUAAUAUGGUCACUGAAUACUCUGGAAACAGACUAGGGACAGGUCAGACUGAUAGGAGGCUGUUAGAGUAACCAGGACAAGAAAAGGCUUUACAUGUGACAAUAAUGAGAACCUAGAAAAGAAGGUCAAUCAUGGGGGUUGGUGGGGGAUGGGGUGGUGAGGGACUGGUUAUGACGGAAAGGCGAGGCAGCUUUGAAAAGGGCACUUGGGCUUUUUACCCUG
This 1052-nucleotide long non-coding RNA is filed under the name Mus musculus (house mouse). RNAcentral describes it as "long non-coding RNA chr9:56448704-56449756". Lineage: Eukaryota; Metazoa; Chordata; Mammalia; Rodentia; Muridae. The record is from RNAcentral.